This 824-nucleotide long non-coding RNA is filed under the name Citrus maxima (pomelo). Its description in RNAcentral is "long non-coding RNA (CMAX_LNC002443)". The record is from RNAcentral. Lineage: Eukaryota; Viridiplantae; Streptophyta; Magnoliopsida; Sapindales; Rutaceae.
CAACACCCCAAUCCGAAAUCCAAGGGCAAAUAUGUCCACAACUCACAUAUGAUUUAAAUAACUCUUUACAAACAAUAAAAUUCGAGCCUCAAAUACAAAAGCCAGCGGAAUAACUUAAAAAUUUAGCCAAACCAUCUACCAUCUUCAACUUGUCACUCAUCACGAAUCAAUCCUGACUUCUGAAAACUGAAUCACAAUAAACUAUAAUGAGUAUAAAACUCAGUAAGCAAACUAGUUUUUCUUAUAGAAAAUACAUGCACACUUAUACAUAAUGCAAUUGAUGAUAUGCCAUGAUCUUUUGGAAAUACUGUAAAAUAAAUUCAUAAAAAUCUCAUUCUGUCGCUUUCAAACUUUCUCAUUUUCUUUCGAUGAAAUACGUAUCCUGCAAUGUGGCACUUUGUGCUGUGUGUGGCACUUUGCACCAUGCAUGGCACUUUGCGACGCUCUGGCCCUCAAGAGGUGGCCCCCGCAUAGUCUCAAGAGGUGGCCCCCACACAACUUCAAGAGGUGGCCCCCAAUGCAAAAUCUCAUAAAACAGAAAUUUCGUUUGCUAAAAUCAUUCAUAGAAAACUCAAUGCAUUUUCGUGCUCAUGCCAAUGAACCAUCACACAUACAUAUUCCCAUGUACAUAAUCAUGCCCAUUACAUAACAACAUACCACAUAAACACAUGAGGAGAGACAUAUAAAUACAUAUUCGUACAUAUCAAAAUAGGUUUUUCAUACAAGUCAAACAUAUAUAUUAUUUAUUGUGAUUCGUUUUAAAGUCUAGUUCACUUACCUCCUGGCAUCCUCAUGUAACAAAUGUGUACUGAUACCAUCAACCU